Molecule: transfer RNA, 63 nt
Filed under: Colasposoma sp. EMHAU-15070314
Lineage: Eukaryota; Metazoa; Arthropoda; Insecta; Coleoptera; Chrysomelidae
Description: tRNA-Arg
Source: RNAcentral
AAAUAAGAAGCAAUAAUGCAUUUAGUUUCGACCUAAAGAUUUGAUUAUAAAUAAUCCUUAUUU